Molecule: non-coding RNA, 568 nt
Organism: Lupinus albus (white lupine)
Lineage: Eukaryota; Viridiplantae; Streptophyta; Magnoliopsida; Fabales; Fabaceae
Source: the annotation of a GenBank genome assembly
GUUGAUUCGAGGCUUUUGUAGCCGCCCCUACCUAAACUUGUUUUUCAUUCUCUUCUUCUUCAAUAAACAUAUAUUGAAUUCUUCUUUUAACAAAACUAAUCAAAUGCAAUGAAGAGAAACGAUAAUCGAUUGCAGAUAACUCUGCAACAAGAUCUUUUCCAUUCUUAUGGUUCGUAUUCACUGAGCAUCAUAACCCUUAUUCACUUUUCUUUUUAUUUAUUUAUUUUAUUUUUUUAAUCGAUGGUUCCUAUGGAGGAAGCGCAAUAAAUCAGUGCGUAUUUCUUCAAGUUUGCCUUCGUAUAUUCAUUCGAGAUCUUAGAACAAACCAAGUGUUUCCAAUUAAUAUUCAUAUGGUUUUGUUCUACUUUUUAUUUUUGAUUUUCGUACAUUUUAUUUAUUAUUGUUUUUUUAUGAAUGCGAAGUUCCCAGCAGAGAGGUGAAUUAAUCUUUAAUAUUGAGGCCUCCCUAACCAUUUAUUUCAAUAUUCUUCGUAAAUUUAUUUUGCCGAAUCGUAGGAUGCCCAAAUAUAUUUGACUUUUGGUUCAUCUGUAAAAUCGGCUAUAUCUUU